GACGACGCUGGCGGCGUUGCUUAAUACAUGCAAGUCGAGCGAGGUUACUGUUUUGGAUCCCUUCGGGGUGAAGAAGCUUUAACCUAGCGGCGGACGGGUGAGUAACGCGUGGGUAACCUACCCCAAAGUCCGGGAUAACAGCGGGAAACCGCUGCUAAUACCGGAUGCCUUUACCUUGGGGCAUCUUGAGGUAAAGAAAGGUAACGCUUUGGGAUGGGCCCGCGUCCCAUUAGCUAGUUGGUGAGGUAACGGCUCACCAAGGCGACGAUGGGUAGCCGGCCUGAGAGGGUGGACGGCCACACUGGGACUGAGACACGGCCCAGACUCCUACGGGAGGCAGCAGUAGGGAAUAUUGCGCAAUGGACGGAAGUCUGACGCAGCGACGCCGCGUGAGCGAUGAAGGUCUUCGGAUCGUAAAGCUCUGUCCUUGGGGAAGAAGGUCUUCGGACUUGACGGUACCCAAGAAGAAAGCCCCGGCUAACUACGUG
Molecule: ribosomal RNA, 488 nt
Filed under: uncultured bacterium
Lineage: Bacteria
Description: bacterial SSU rRNA
Rfam family: Bacterial small subunit ribosomal RNA
Source: RNAcentral